Paramisgurnus dabryanus is the source of this 374-nucleotide long non-coding RNA. RefSeq lists it as uncharacterized. NCBI's taxonomy places the organism in Eukaryota, Metazoa, Chordata, Actinopteri, Cypriniformes, Cobitidae. The record is from RefSeq and is a predicted model, not a curated record.
CUAGCUUGUAUUGGGUUAUUUCCAUAACAACCCAGAGAGUUGGGUUAAAAUCGGGCUCACGUCACGCAUUUUGAAUUUCAACGGUUGACCGGUGCCACUGCUGAGUGCGGACAGACACGAGAGACAUUCUUGGAGAUGUUGCAUUAAAAACCUUACAAAAUGGCCAGCAAGAUGAUUCAGCCUUCCUACAGUACCAAGAGGCAAAGCAAACAUUUAUUAAUUUGCAACCUGUCAGAAAACAAACAUAAUUCAGUAUUUGGAGGAGGAGGUAUGACGAAGAUCCCAUGUCCUCCUAUGGGAUGAAUUCGACUAAUCACAAGCCUUUGUUAUCGUGGGGAGGCAUGCAUGGCCCAGGAGCAAGACCAGCAGUUGAC